ACUAUAGCAAAGAGGAUACACCUGUUCCCAUUCCGAACACAGAAGUUAAGCUCUUUAGCGCCGAUGGUACUUGGUGGGAAGCUGCCUGGGAGAGUAGGACGUAGCC
Molecule: ribosomal RNA, 106 nt
Filed under: Paraclostridium bifermentans
Lineage: Bacteria; Bacillati; Bacillota; Clostridia; Peptostreptococcales; Peptostreptococcaceae
Also listed under: 3 other names
Source: RNAcentral